This is a long non-coding RNA of Oryzias melastigma (Indian medaka), 1160 nucleotides long. RefSeq lists it as uncharacterized. NCBI's taxonomy places the organism in Eukaryota, Metazoa, Chordata, Actinopteri, Beloniformes, Adrianichthyidae. The record is from RefSeq and is a predicted model, not a curated record. The transcript is spliced from 2 exons.
CAAUAAAGAACAGCCAAUAAUAAUCUACAUUUGUCAAAAACAAGACCAACAACAACCUCUGGACAGCGAGCGGACAAAUCCGUCAGGAUCAAAUUUGUUUGGUUUCAGAAGAUCCCGUCACGAUUCUCCGUUUCGACCACCAGAGAUCAAAACCUCCAGUCAGGACCACCGCAUGCUCGAGUGCAGACGCUCCAGAGGUAUCUGGGAAGGUUGUGUGCCAAAACCAAGUGGAGGAGCGGAGAACCCGUGUCGGGGGCGGAGCCAGACUGGAAAAAGGAGGGAAAGGACUCCAUUGUCCUCUUUGGAACGAGCAGAGUGAGAAGUGAUAAUUAACCGGUAAUUAAUUUGCUGCUCUUUAUCUCAGAGCGGCGUGUGUUCGGCUAAAGAUUAGCAGAGCUUUUAAAUAAUAAGCGGCAGAGUUUGAUUCUGCUUCCUCCCAACAAACGAGCCGCUGUUUGUUUGUUUGUUUGUCUGCUGAUCCGUUCACGGAGAGGCUUUCCCGGGUUAUUCUGGGAGCUGCUGGGAGGGGGGGCCGCACACCUGACAUCACAACACACCUGAUAAUUACACAUGAAUGGAGUCGGCGCCUUCGCUCACUCAUUGUGUCUAAAAGUGAGUCGGAGAUGAAAGAGGUUCUGCUGCAGGAGCUCCACUUCUGAGGACAGAAACAGACGUAAAAACACACACGCCUCUACUUACCGCCUGUUUGUGUCUAUUUACCGUCUGUUUGUCUCUACUUAACGCCUGUUUGUGUCUAUUUACCGUCUGUUUGUCUCUACUUAACGCCUGUUUGCAGCUGCAGUCAAACACAAACAAUUAGGUCAAAGUUAGAACAUCAAAUCCGUGUUUUUGACCAAACAGAGACGCGUUUGAAUGACUUCUGCAGACAUGAAACAUGACGUGAGUGACUUCCGGGUCGUACAGAAUGGAGAGCGUUCCUUCAGUCCAAAAAUGCUUCAUUUGAAGGAAGACUCGGGCCCUUGAGGUCCUGCAGAACCAAACCCAGAGCACUGCUGCCAUCUACUGGCCCAGAUGCGCAUCAGGUCAGCGGCGUUACACAACACCCCCACAAAGACGGGACAAAAAGCCUCAUAUUAGAAUCAAUUCGCUCCAAAUAAACAUUUUUGUGGAGCUAUUUUUACUUUUUAAAAAUGUGUCAA